RNA transcript from Acinonyx jubatus (cheetah), 23806 nucleotides. It is a transcript of the gene named olfactory receptor 13C9, with no coding region annotated. Lineage: Eukaryota; Metazoa; Chordata; Mammalia; Carnivora; Felidae. The record is from RefSeq and is a predicted model, not a curated record. The transcript has 9 exons.
GGAUACAGCGUAUGGAAGGAAAGCCAAUCCUCUGAAUGCCGUUUUAGAUCCUCCUUGGCUGGCUUCUUGUGAUUAGUUUACUCUCUAAUAUUGCAUUUAUCAGUUGCAUAUUACACUGUAACUAUCAUCAUUUGCCCUUCGAAUCAUUUUUUAUCUUAAAAAAGCUAAUAUACCAACCCAAUCAGAACAUCUAGGAACAAAUAUUUGAAGAGUGUUCUAACAUCUUACAAACUGAAUCAUUAUAGCUUUUUCUUAUUGCUAUAGCACAUUAAUAUUUAAUUUAAUAGAAUAAUAUACUUACUGGUCAAAUGCUUUCCCCUUCUCCCCUUUCCACCAACUCCUGUACCUCAGUUUUGCAAAGGGUUUUUCCAUUAUAUAUAAUUCGUGGUUUUGCUUACCAGCUUUUUCACUUUUUUUUUUUAUUAACAUUUAUUUAUUUUUUGAGAGUCAGAGAGAGACAGAGCAUGAGCAGGGGAGGUACAGAGAGAGGGAGACACAGAAUUGGAAGCAGGUUCCAGGCUCUGAGCUGUCAGCACAGAGCCAGAUGCGGGGCUCGAACCCACAAACCGUGAGAUCAUGACCUGAGCCGAAGUCAGUUGCCCAACCAACUGAGCCACCCAGGGGCCCCUCCAGCUUUUUCACUUUAGCAACCUGAAAAGAUGACAUAUUCACUUUGUGUAAUAAUACAUAUUUGCUUCGUUAAAAAUUUUUUUUUAAUGUUUAUUGAUUUUUGAGAGAGACAGAGCAUGAGCAGGGGAGAGUCAGAGAGGGAGGGAGACACAGAAUCCCAAAACAGGUUCCAUGCUCUGAGCGGUCAGCACAGAGCACGAUGUGGGGCUCAAACUCACAAACCUGAGAUCAUGACCUGAGCCGAAGUCGGACGUUUAACCAGUUGAGCCACCCAGGUGACUCCCGUAUUUUCUUCUUUUAACAUACAUUUUUCAUGACGUGCCUUCAAAACCCUUUUAUAAGGCACUGUAUAAAUAAAUUCAGUGAAUGACCAUAAGCCUCUAAGUGUCUAGUGGGGAGGGCAAAGGUACUUCAAGGGAUCACUGAGUAAAGACAGUGAGGAGAGGUGAGGAGCUAAUGAGAGUGCAAUGCUGGUAGAAGUGGGUUCAGUUUUCCAGGCUAGAAAGGCAAAAGAGGCAUGACCCUCAUUCAAACGCUACUUCUUUGAUAAAGAACACCAUUGAUGUGUAUUGGAGGCAGUCUGAAGGCAAUAUCUCUGUACUGACAACUCUUACUGAAAUUCAAAUUUUAAGUUUUUCAAAAAGUGGUAGAACUGAGGAAAAUUUGAAUGGGACACCUACCAGUGGUAUUGAGCUUUGUCUUAGCCAGCCAUCUUUUGAGGCUUUAGAGUGUGAACUUCAGGAGGUACUGUGUCUUACUCUGACUUUUGUAUCAAGUCACAGUGCUUUAGAGAGAACUAGAGAGCAAUACACAAAUCUGUUCCUUUGAUAUUUUUAGUACAUUCAAGCAUAACAUAAAGAAUGUGGCUAUGCAUUAAAUUGUAGAAUUUGAAGCUAGAAAGGAUACUAGAAAUGACUUGUUACAACAUGUCAUUGUGUACUUUUAUUUUACUAGUGGAGAAGAUAAGACCCAAGAGGGCAAGCGUCUUAUUGGUGGUCCACAGGGAUUCAGAGCUCAAGUCAGGCACAAAGGAUUUGUCUUUUGUCACCCAGGGUGCUUGCAAACAACCUAGCUCUUCAUGCACUGAGCACCCUCUCCCCAUCCCUCCCCAACCCUAAUUCUCUACUCAUUUUAAGACAUAAAGUGAAUCUUUCCAUUCUGCACCAGAUUUUCAGCACAUUGAGCAUAACAUGCAGACUCCUUCCCUGACCUGAUCAUCUGGCACCUGCCUCCCUCCACCCCUCCUCUUCCACUUUCUCCCUCCUAGCUCAUCUCGCCCCAGCCACACUGCCUUCCUGCUGUUCCUCAAACAUGGAAAGCUCAUUUUCUCACUUUCUAUUGCCCUUGCUUAUAGUGUUCUUUCUUCCCAAAUCUUUUCCUGGCUUCUCUUUCUAAUCGUGUAUGCCUUGGGAGAAGUAUCACCCUCUUUGGGAGAAGUAGCCCUGUUUCCCCCCGUUUCCCUCUUAUUUUGCUUUAUUUUUGGCUAGGUGACAUUUGUUUAUUGCCAAAUUCCUGCACAGGAAUGCAAGCUCCAUGCAGGCAGAGACUUUGUCUUGUUCACCCCAGACUCUCAAAUGUGCCGAACAUGUCUGGCACGUAGAUGCUCAGUGAAUAUUCAUUGAGUGAACACAGGGGCAGGAGACCAAAUGCUGGUGGAUUGCACUGACUGGAGUUUGGUAGGUGAGCAUUUCAGGCCUCUUUGUGUUCCAUCAUCCUUAACUGCAAAGGAAGUUUGCGGCUCACAGGUCUGUGGGGAGAUCACACAAAUGGUGAGGGGAUAGAUGCAUGUUUGUGGUUGUUAUUGAUUGAUCUGUGCUCCUGAGGCACCAGGAAAGGCCAGGCCCUCUCGGGUGAUGCUACCUUUGAUGUCUUCCCUCUGCAGAGACAUGCCUUGCUCAGUGGGGGAAGAGGAGUGGACCACCGCCCCGGUUCCCCAGACCAUCACGAUACUCUUCCAAAGUGGCAACUGGACGAUGGAGAACCCCUCACCCGCCUGCCAGUGUAGCAGCGACAAAAUCAAGAAGAUGCUGCCUGUGUGUCCCCUGGGGGCAGGGGGGCUGCCUCCUCCACAAGAAGAGCAUGUCAGCGGACAUUCUUGUGUCCAUCUGUGUUGUCUUUGAAAUGUUCUUCAUCUCAGCCAGUUUUGUUGUGUUCCUGAUCCAUGAGCAGAUCAGUAAAGGGAAACUCCUGCAGUUCAUUAGCAGAUUGUAACCUGUCAUGUACUGGCUCUCCAAUUCUGCAUGGGAUAUGGUAAGAACACCUGUCUGCUGCUGCUUUCUAAAUCUCCAUCAGGGCUAUGGAUUGGAUGAAAGAGCCUUUGACUUUUCUAAAAGUGUUCUGGCUAAUCUAAAGAUGAAUGAAAAAGGGAAAGGCAGAAGCAGUUGCAUAUUUUCAUGACACAGAGCUGAUCUCAUGCCACAGAGAAAAUCUGUCUACACUGACUGCAACUAACAUUACUAUCACCCAAUUUCCUAGACUUUUCAAAGAAACAUUGAGGUAGAAGACUCUUAGUUACAACUCAAAACCAAUGCCUCUGACUUCUGAUAGGUUUUAACCUCCAGAGUUAGGGUGUUCUUUGCCUUACUAGGAAACUUAUUUGUCCUUUGAAUCCUUGAGGACCAGAUAAAUGAGAGGUGAGUAUGCUUCCUGCUUUUCCAUUUUCCCUCAGACAGCUAAUAAUUUACUGUGUUGUAUUUGCAAUAUGUGUUAGAAACAUAAAUUCAUAUAGCUGUAAAUAUAGACUACCAGGAGAGCUUGGAAGUACCAAAUCUAGUUUGAGAAGGCUUAAAUACUCAAGUAAAAUAAAAAUGAACAUUGUAAGAAAACCCUAGUAUAUCUGAGACAGUACUGAAGAAAUUCUCCUUGUAGAGCUAUUCGCAUGCUAAUUAUUUGAGGUAAGUUAACAUUUAAGUAUAUUUAUUACUGUCUCAUUACCUUAUAGCAACACAGUAGCUCCAGAUCAGAGGAUAAAAAUAUAAAACACAAUAAAAAACGAUCAGAAUGUAUCUGUAGGCGUUUAUUAGGGCAAACAUUUCCAUAACCAUAAAUAUUAUCACAAAUAGAUGUCCCAAGUAUCUUUGUUAAAUUGUGAUUCAAAAUGAAGUAAAAGUUAGUAAAAUAAAUUGUAAAUGAAGACAUUUUCAGCAUAUAAACCAAUGAGUCUUUAAAAAUUUUUCAUAUGAGGACCUAUUAACAUUAUUUUCCACAUAUGUAAUUAAUUAUUAAUGUAAAACAAAAUGAAUAGAGAUGAUAAUAUACUUUUCCAUAAUAAACAGGUUUAAUAUUUUUAUGAAUCCCAUUUGGUAUUACAAAAUAAGUUUUACUGGACAAAAACUUUUAAAAUCUCAGAAAAAUAGACAUGAAAAGGUUGAUAAUAUAUAUAAAUAACUUAAAAAUAUCAUAGGCAUGGAAAUGUAACAUAAUCAUUUCAAUAUAAGGAAAUGCUAUAAAAGUAGAGGCUGUAAACAUAGAGAACAAGAGAUAUUCUGAAAUAAAUGAAAAAUCAAGAUCUUGAAGGAAUGACAACUAUUUUUAAUAUACGACAGAUACUGAAAUGCCAAACGGAAAAUGAACAGAACUAUUUCCUCAAGAGGUCAUGACACUGGACAAAAGCAGCUUUUAAAAAUGCAGAGGGCACAGCAAAUUAACUUACCACCUCCUUGAAAUAAAAAUGAAAAUCUCUUGGGAGAAUUUAAGCACCAUUAGCAGACACAACUUAUAGCAGUUAAUGCAAUGCUUUGUAUUUCAGAGGAAAAUUAUUUCAAUGGGGAAAAUGACGUAGGAAUCAGAAGCAUAUUUUGCUGAGACUCAAGGAAGUUAACACUUUCCCGAACUGGAAAAAAAAACAUUUUAUAAUGUUGGAAAGUUAUAAAGUUAAAAAGUGAAUCAAAUUUGUUGUACAAAUAAUUCAUGCCUAGUGAAAUAGCUUACCAGCUGCCACAACUCUGGGAUCCUCAUGAGACUGAUGUCUCCCAGCUGCACGACUAUCUGCACUCUCAUUCCACCAAAGAACAUGAACUGCAGAAAUAACCAAAAAUAGAUUCUAAAGACUAUAGCAUUACUACAAUAAAUACAGAAAAAUUAAUCAGAAACAUUAAGUCUUAUUCUUUAAAUCAAAAUAGUAAAUAUCAAAAAGGUAAAACUGAGUAUGUUAGUGAUAAGAUUUCAGAGGGGUCAGUGAUUUGGGAGGUAAAUUUAUAAAUUACUUAAUCAAACUUUUUAUAGAUGAAGAAACAGAUGGUUGGAGAGAAAAAGUUAGUAAAACCACUAAAGACACAAUUAAGUCUAGAACCAAGCCUGUGACUUCCUAAUAUAUUUUAGUUUAUUAAAAAAAGCAAGAUUAUAUAAGAAUUAUAUUUACUACUGGAAAUUUGGAUGAUACAAAGAAGAAAAUUAAAAGCAUAAUUUGAACCACCUAGAGAGAAACUCUAUUGCUAUUUAGUGCAUUUCCUUUAAACAAAUGAAUAAAAUAAAAAAUGCAUAUUUUCCAUGGCAGUAAUCUUAAUUUUUAAUGGCUAUGUGAAUUCCUCCUUAUAGAUAUAACAACUUUUUAUCCAAACUUCUUAUUAUUGACCAAUCAGAUUAAUUCCAAUAUUUAAAUUUUUUGAAUUAUGGAAUGUUUUUGUGCAUAAUGUUUUACAAGUUUUUAAUAACUAUAAUAUAGGACAUGUUAGCUCUAUAGGAAAAUGCGGAUAAAAAGAGAAAAGAGUAAUCAUUUCUAUACCACCUAGGGAAAAAACCCACUUUUUUGCUGCAUCUCUUUCCAUAUUUAUGUAUAUAUGUAUCUAUUUUUAUGGAUAUAUUUUAUACACACAUAAACAUACAAAUUUAUGGUUAUAUAAAUACAUGAUGAAAUGUACUUUUUUCUGGAUUAUAUGUGUUAUUACAUAAAAAAUGUUUUUUUGUAAAUAAUACUGAUACAAACAUCAUUAGAGUAGCAUCUACAUGUAUAUCUGUAAUGAUAAUGCUGAUGACAACUCAUACCAAUAUUUAUUCAUUGUUUACUAUGUGCUAGACCUGGUUUUAAGCAUUUUGCAUGUAUUAACUCAUUUAGUCUUCAUAAUAAUUUUAUAUAGAUUACUAUUAUCAUCACUUUAUGGGUGAGGAAACUAAGGCACAAUGAGGUUAAGUAACUUACCUAGGGUCACAAAGUUAUAAGUGGUGAAGCUGGGAUUCAAACCCAGGCAGUCUGGAUCUGAUUAUUUUCUUAAUAUAAACUCCUAAAAUUUAAAUUGAGAGAACCAAAGAGUAUAUCUUAUACAUACACACUCAUAAAUAUACAGUGUAUAUAUUAUACACUGUCCUCCAGAAAUGAAGUAUUGAUUUAUACUCAGCAUAUUACUAUUCUCCUAGUACACUAGGAAUAAAUUUAAGAUUAAAAAGUGUGUGUGCACACAUAUUUUCAUUAUUUUUUUUCUUAUAAAAGUGAUACAUGUCCAUUAUAGUAAAUUAGAGACUUAAAAGACCUUUAAUCUCAUCAUUUAAAUAUGACUAUAUAUUUUAUGUCCUUUCAAAUUCCCUUCUUGUAUAACUAAACACACCUACAUAUCCAUGCAUAUUUCCUUAACAUUGGCAAAAACAAUUUAAAAAAUUAAGGCUUUUUGCCCAAGGCAGCCCCAACUUGCCUCUUAACACCGGGACCAAACCCUGCCCACAAUAGGCAAAGAGAGCCAUUUCAGACAACUGGACUAAAGGCAGAUGUGGCUCAGCCACAACAGUAAGGUGCAUGCAACACAUACAGAAGAUACCCUUGAAGGGAAAUUGCACUGCAGGGCACUACAGGACCUCUUCUUCAUAAGGCCACUACUUGCAAAAGCAGGAGAUGUAGCUUACUUUCCUAACACACAUAAACAGACACAGAGAGUUAGACAAAAUGAAGGCAUAGAAGAAUAUAUCUCAAAUGAAAGAAGAGGACAAACUCACAGCAAGAGAGCUAAAUGAAACAGAUAAGCAAUAUGCCUGAUAGAGAAUUUAAAGUAAUGAUCAUAAAUAUACUCACUGGACUUGAGAAAAGAGUAGAGGAUCUCCGUGAAACCCUCAAAAAAGAGAGAGAAAAUAUAAAAAAGAACCAGUGAAAGAUGAAGAACUCAAUAAGUGAAAUUAAAAAUACACUAGAGGGAAUAAAUAGUAGAUUAGAGGAAGCAGAAGAAUGGAUCAGUGAUCUAAAAGACAGUAAUGGAAAGCAAUCAAGCUAAACAGGAGAAAGAAAAAAGAUUAACAAAAAUGCGAGAACAGGUUAAGGGAACUCAGCAAUACCAUCAAGUAUAAUAAUAUUAACAUUAUAGGGAUCCCAGAAGAAGAGAGAUAAAAGGGGUAACACAUUUAUUUGAAGAACUAAUAGCUGAAAACUUCCUAAAUCUGGAGAGGGAAACAAAUCUAGAGUCCUAACACACAGAGAGCCACCAACAAUAUCAACCCAAGGAGGUCCACACCAAGACACAAGGUAAUUAAAAUGGCAAAAAAGUACUGAUAAAGAGAAAAAUGUAAAAGCAUCAAAAGAAAAGAAAAUAGUUACAUAUGAGAGAAACUCCAUAAGGCUACCAGCUGAUUUUUCAGCAGAAACUUUGCAGGCUAGAAAGGAAUGGCAUGAUAUAUUCAAAGUGCUGAAAGGAAAAAAACUGAAACUGAGAAUACUCUAUGCAGCAAGGCCAUCAUUCAGAAUAGGAGAGAUAGUUUCUCAGGUAAACAAAAAUUAAAGGAGUUCAUCAACCACUAAACCGGGAUUACAAGAAAUAUUAAAGGGGAUUCUUUAAGUGGAAAAGAAAAACCAAAAGCAGGAGUAAGAAAAUGAGGAAAGGAAAAAAUUUCACAGGUGCAUAUAAACAUAAUAAAAGUAGAUUAAUCACUUAUAAAACAGUACGGAGGUUAAAACACAAAGCAGUAAAAUCAAGUAUAUCUAUAAAUAUCAGUCAAGAGAUUAAUAAAGGGAUGUAAAGUAUGACAUCAUAUACCUAAAACAUAGAGGGAAGGGGAGUAAAAAUUUAGUGUUUUUAGAAUGGGUUCAAACUUAAGGGACCAUCACCUUAAUAUAGACUGUUAUAUGCAUAAAUGUAUAUAUAAACCUAAUGGUGACCACAAAUAAAAAAACUGGUAAUAGAUAUGCAAAAAAUAUACAGAAAGGAAUCCAGGUAUAUUACUAAAGAAAGCCAUCAAACCACAAAAGAAGAGAGCAAGAGAAGAAAGGGACAGAGAAUAACACCACAGAACAAGUAACAAAAUGGCAAUAAGUACAGACCUGUCAAUAAUUACUUUGAAUGUAAAUGAAUGAAAUGCUCCAAUCAGGGUAACUGAAUGGAUAAAAGGGGAAGAUAUUUAUAUGCUGUUUACAGAGAUUCAUUUCAGACCAAAAGACACAUGCAGAUUGAAAGUGAAGAGAUGGGAAAACAUUUAUCAUGCAGAUGAAAAGAAAACUGGGAUAGCAAUACUUGUAUCAGGCAACACUGGAAGACAUAAAGAAGAACAUAAUCAUAAAGGGAACAAUCCAACAAGAAGAUAUAAAACUUGUAAAUACUUAUGCAAAUUACAUGGGAUUACCCAAAUACAUAAAGCAGCUAUUAACAAACAUAAAGGAAAUAAUCAGUAGUAAUUCAAUAAUAGUAAAGGACUUUAACACCCCACUUACAUCAAUAGAUAGAUCACCCAAAGAGAAAAUCAACAUGUUAACAGUGGCUUUGAAUGACACAUUGGACCAGAUUAACAGAUACAUUCAGAACCCCCCAUCCUAAAAACAGUGGGAUACACAUUCUUUCAAGUGCACACGAAACAUUCUCUGGAAGAGAUCAUACGUUAGGCCACAAAACAAGUCUCAACAAAUUAAAAAAAAAAUACUAAAGUCAUACCACGCAUCUUUCCCAACCACAACACUAAGAAACUAGAAAUCACAAGAAAAAAUAUGUAAAGACCACAAACACAUGGAGGUUAAAUAACAUGCUACCAAACAAUGAAUGGGUCAACCAAGAAAUCAAAGUGGAAGUAAAAAAAUACAUGGAGGUAAAUGAAGAUGAAAACACAACAGUCCAAAAUCUUUGGGAUGUAGCAAAAGCUGUUCUAGGAGGGAAGUUUAUAGUAAUACAGGUCUACUCAAGAAGCAAGGAAAAUUUCAAACUCCUGAACCUUACACCUAAAAGAGCUAGAAGAAAAAGAACAAACAAAACCCCCAAACAGUAGAAGUAAAUACUAAAAAUUAGAGCAGAAAUAAAUGAAAUAGAACCACAAAAACAAUAGAACUGAUCAAUGAAACCCAGAGCUAGUUCUUUGAAGAGAACAACAAAUUUGAUAAACUUUUACCCAGACUGUUCAAAAACAGAGAGAGAGAGAGAGAGAGAGGAUCAAAUAAACAAAAUCAGAAAUGAAAGGGGAGAAAUAACCACCAAAAACACAGAAAUAGAAAGGGUUAGUCAGAAAAUAUUAUGAAAAAUUAUAUGCUAACAAACUGGGCAACCUAGAAGAAAUGGAUAAAAUCCUAGAAACAUUAAGACUUCCCAAAAAUGAUUCAGGAAGAAACAAAAUUUAAAGACUGUACAAGCAAUGUAAUUGAAUCACUAAUCAAAAAACUCCCAAGAAACAGAAGUCCAGGACCAGAUGGCUACACAGGUGAAUUCUACUAAACAUUUAAAGAAGAGUUAAUGCCUAUUAUUCUCAAACUAUUCCAAAAAGUAGAAGAGGAAAGAAAGCUUCCAAAUUCAUUCUAUGAAGCCAGCAUUACCCUGACACCAAAACUAGAUAGACACUACAAAAAAGAGAACUAUAGGCCAAUAUCUCUGAUGAACAUAGAUGCAAAGAUCUGUAACAAAAUAUGAGCAAACUGAAUCCAACAAUAUAUAAAGAAAUCAUUUACAUUCAUCAAGUAGGAUUUAUUCCUGAGAUGCAAGCGUAGUUCAAUAUUUGCAAAGCAAUCAACAUGAUACAUCACAUCAAUAAUGGAAAGGAUAAAAACCAUAUGAUCAUUUCAGCAGAUCUAGAAAAUGCAUUUGACAAGGACAACAUCCAUUCAUGAUAAAAACCCUCCUUAAAAAGUAGGUGUAGAGAGAACAUACCUCAACAUAAUAGAGGCCAUAUAUGAAAAACCCACAGCUAACAUCAUACUCGAUGAAAAACAGACCUUUUCCACUAUGGUCAGGAACAAGACAAGAAUGUCCACCAAUUUUAUUCAACAUAGUAGUGGAAGUCCUAGCUACAGCAAUCAGACAAGGAAAAGAAAUAGAAAGCAUCUAAAUUGGUAAAGAAGAAGCAAAACUUUCACUAUUUGCAGGUGACAUGGUACUAUAUAUAGAAAACCCUAAAGACUCCACCAAAAACUACUGGAACUGAAAAAUGAAUUAAGUAAAGUUGCAGGAUACAAAAUCAAUAUACAGAAAUCCAUUUCAUUUCUACACAUAAAAAAGUAGCAAAAAGAGAAAUUAAGAAAAAUAUCCCAUUUACAAUUGCAUCAAAAAUAAUAAAAUACGUAGAAUAAACUUAACCAAGGAGGUGAAAGACCUGUACUGUGAAAACUAUAAAACACCAAUGAAAGAAGUUGAAGAUUAUACAAACAAAUGGAAGGAUAUUCCAUGCUUAUGGAUUGGGAGAACCAAUACUGUUAAAACAUCCAUACUACCCAAAGCAAUCUGCAGAUUUAAUGCAAUCCUAUAAAAAUACCAAUAGCAUUUUUCACAGAACUAGAACAAAUAAUCCUAAAGUUUGUAUGGAACCACAAAAAAUCCUGAAUAGCAAAAGUAAUCUUGAAAAAAAAGAACAAAACUGGAGGCAUCAUAAUCCCAGAUUUACUAGAAAUCUGUAGUAAUCAAAACAGUGUGGUACUGGCACAAAAACAGAAAAUAGAUCUAUAGAUCAGUGGAACAGAAUACAGAGCCUCGAAAUAAACCCACGAUUAUACUGUCAAUUAAUCUUUGACAAAAGAGGCAAAAAAAAAAAAAGACUUUUUAACAAAUGGUAUUGGGAAAACUGGAUAGCUACAUACAAAGAAUGAAACUGGACGACUUUGUUUCACUAUACACAAAAAUAAACUCAAAAUGGAUUAAAGACCUAAAUAUGAGACCUGAUACCAUAAAAGUCCCAGGGGAAAACACAGGCAGUAGUUUCUUUGACAUUAGCCAUAGCAACAUCUUUCUUGAUAUGUCUCCUAAAGCAAAAGAAACAGCAAAAAUAAACUAUUGGGACUACAUCAAAAUAAAAGCUUUUAAAUAGCAAAGGAAACCAUCAUCAAUACUAAAUACAACCUACUGAAUGGAAGAAUAUAUUUGCAAAUGAAAAAUCUGAUAAAAGGUUAAUAUCCAAAAUCUAUAAAGAAGCUAUACAACUCAAUACCCCAAAAACAAAUAAUCCAAUUUAAAAAUGGGUAGAAGAUAUGAAUAGACAUUUCUCCAAAGAAGACACCCAGAUGGCCAAUGGACACAUGAAAAGAUGCUCAACAUCAUUCAUCAUCAGGGAAAAGCAAAUCAAAACUACAAUGAGAUAUCACCUCACAUCUGUUAGAAUGGCUAAAAUCAAAAACAAAAGAAACAACAAGUGUUGGCAAGGAUAUGGAGAAAAAGGAACCAUCAUGGACCAUUUGUAGGAAUGCAUAUUGGUGCAGCCACUGUGGAAAAAGUAUGAAGGUUCCUCAAAAAAUUAAAAAUAGAAUUACCAUAGGAUACAGUAAUUCCACUACUGGGUAUUUACCCAAAGAAUAUGAAAGCAUGAAUUUGUAAAGGUUUAUGCACCCCAUGUUUAUUGCAGCAUAAAUUACAUAGUCAAGAUAUGGAAGCAGCAGACCAAGUGUCCAUUGAUAGAUGAAUGGAUAAAGAAGAUGUGGUAUGUAUAUACAAUGGAAUAUUACUCAGCCAUAAAAGGAAUGAGAUCUUGCCAUUUGCAAACAUAUGGAUGGAUCUAGAGGGUAUAAUGCUAUGUGAAAUAAGUUAAUCAGAGAAAAACAAAUACCACAUGAUUUCACUCAUAGUGGAAUUUAAGAAAACAAAUGAACAAAGAAAAAAAGUGAUGAAAAACAAAUUCUUAAAUAUAGAGAACAAACUGGUGGUUGCCAGAGAGAAGGUGGGUAGAGGGAUGGGUGAAAUAGGUGAAGUGGAUUAAGAGUACACUUAUCAUGAUGAGUUCUGAGUAAUGCACAGGAUUGUUGAAUCACUAUAUUAUACACCUGAAACUAAUAUAACACUGUAUGUUACUUAUACUGAAAUAAAAAAAAUAAUGUCAAAGAACCAAGCCUUUUUAUUUAUGUUGCCAGGUUUUUUUGAGGGAAGAUGAAGUAGUUACAAAUCCUACAAGUAGAACUCAUUUUUUUCUGACCUAGGUUAUACUCUACCUGUAUAAUGUAUCUUUAUUAGGUAAAAACUGGCAUCUUAUGAGGUGCCUAGGUAGCUCAGUUGGUUAAGUAUCCGACUUCUGCUCAGGUUAUGGUCUCACAGUUCAUGGGUUUGAGCCCCACAUUGGGCUCUGUGCUGACAGCUCGGAGCCUGGAGUCUACUUCAGAUUCUGUGUCUCCCUUUCUCUCUGCCCCUCCCCUGCUCAUGCUCUGUCUCUCUCUCUCUCUCUCUCGCUCUCUCUCAAAAAUAAACAUUAAAAAAGAAUUAAAGCAUCUUAUUUUGUUUUAAUCUGCAUCUUCUUUAACAUAUUUUUAGGAGUCAUCUGUGUCUACCUUUGCAGAAUAUUUUUUGCUCUUGGAUUUCAUUUAAGGUGUUUUGGGAGGAACUAAGUUUGAGCUUUGUAUAAUAAAAUCAUCAAUUUAUUCUUUUUUUCCUUCAUAGUUUCUUCAUUUGCUUUUUGGCUUAGAAAUACUGUUUCUAUACAUGUCAUUAAAUAAAUUUAUCUAUAUUUUGUUUUAUUAGUUGUAUGAAUUCAUCAGUUUGCCACAAGAAAACUCUCUGAAAUUCUGACUGGAAUAUCUUUUGACUUUAAACAUUAAAUAUCCCAAAUAGACAUUUUAUUAAAUAAAUUAAUAAAUCAUUUACUUAUAUCUUAUAUAUACUAUAAAUAUAUCUAAGUAGUGGAAAUGGGUAAUUUUUUUCUUUGGGCUUGUCUAUGUUUUUAAUAUUUAUAAUAACUACAUAGUACUUUUUCACCCAGAAAUAAUCUCUACCCCAAGUAAUGUUAUUUAAAAAAAAUCACAAAAAGCAGACUUCCAGUUAUAAGAUAUUAAAUAAGUUUUGGGGAUGUAAUACACAACAUGAUGACUAUAGGUAACACUCCUGUAUUGUAUAUUUGAAAGCUGAUAAUAGAGUAUAUCUUAAAAGUUGUCAUCAGAAGGAAAAACAAUUUGUAACUGAGGUGAUGGAUGUUAACUAAACAUACUGUGGUGACCAUUUCACAAUAUAUACAGAUAACAGAUCAUUAAACUUGUAACAUGUUAUAUCAAUUAUAUCUCAAUAAAACUGGGAAAAAAGGAAAAAUCAUUAAAAGUACAUUCAGAGGAAAAUAACAUAACAGAAAUAGGUAACUUUUUCAGGUUCCUUUCAAUUUUUAAAAUUUUAUCAUUUUGAUGUAUCAGGGAAAAGAGCAGUUCUGUAUUUGAAAAAAAAAACUUUAUAAGGUGAAUAACAUUCCAAAUAAAUGUAAAACAGGUUUGCUCAACCCUUAAAUUUACAAAAAGCUAAAAACUGGGCAAUAAAAAAUGAAAUAUAAUCCACAAUGAGAACAGAGACAAAUUGACCAAACGAACUUAAUGUGGAUCACCAAUAUAUUUUGCAAUUUCAUGGAAGAAAUGGACAACUGUACCUCUGUUGAGUACUCCAUAUUCUGCAUGGAACACUCCAACUAGUUUUGUGUAGCCUCGAUUGACAUGCGUAUGAACUGCCCUUUUAAAUGGGUCACCCCACAGAGCUGGCCCACCAGGUUUCAUCUGAAAUGUAGCUAGUUCAUAGACUCCUAGAAUAGGGAGAAAAAUAAUUAUUUUAUCGAACAUAUUCAAGAAAUUUCUAAUCAUGUUUAGUUUGGUUCCAGUGCAAGGAUAACUACACAAAUAGAUUUUGAGGAUCAUACCCAUAUACAUGUUCAUGUAGACAUAAUUUAUUAAUAAUUUGCAUUGUUUUUCUUUGCUUUUAUGUUUAGUCAGUCUUGGUCCCACUUAAAGGGUCAGUCAUUAAACUUAGUAUACAGAACAAACCAAAAUGGAUGGACUCUAUAGGUAAGGUAUUAUCUAAGCUAUUUUUAAUUUACAGAAAUUGUCAAUAAAAGUGAAAAUUUAUAAUGGAAUAGGAUAUUUCUAGUUGUCUAAGUCUGUACUUUAUAAAGUAAAUGAAAAAGGAAGUAUUUCUAGUCUCUUAUAGUUCCAUUUUUCUUUCCAAUUUUCAAUACUUUUCUCUUUAUAUAAGUUCCCCUUAUAGGAUUCCUUUUCUAACAGGAGCAGCAAGCAAGUAAUGAGCCUGAAGUGAUUGUCUUAGAAUUCUGAGGAAAAAAAUAAUUCUAAAGGAGAUGGUUUUACUAUUCCCAAAUAUCCAGGUACUUUUUCAUGAGAAUUUUCUCCUAAGAAGCCCCUGGGGCAAUUUCUUUACCCCCAAACUACAACUAGGAUCCUGUUGUCCAGUUGCUGUGUCUGGGAUUUCCAAUUCUGUGUUGAAUAAAAGUGAUGAGAGUGGACAUCCUUGUCUUGUUCCUGAUCUUAGAAAAGCUCUCUGCUGUUCCCUAUUAAGGAUUAUGUCAGCUGUGAGUUUUUAAUAUAUGGCCAUUAUUAGGUUGAGAUUUGUUCCCUCUAAACCUACUUUGUUGAGGGUUUUUAUCAUGAAUAGAUGUUGUACUUUGUCAAAUGUUUUUUAUACAUCUAUUGAAAUGAUCAUAUGGUUUUUAUCCUUUCUCUUAUUUAUGUGACAUACUACUUUCAUUGUUUUCCAAGUAUUGAACCAUCCACCCUUGCAUCCUGGAAUACAUCUCACUUGAUCAUGGUGUAUGAUUAUUUUAAUGUAGUGUUGGAUUCAGUUUGCUAAUAUUUUGUUGAGGAUUUUUGCAUCUAUAGUCAGGAUAAUUUUUUUUAAUGUUUAUUUCUUUUUGAGAGAGAGACAGAGAACGAGCAGGGGAGGGGUAGAGAGAGAGAGAGAGAGAGACAGACAGACAGACAGAAUCUAAGCAGUAUCUGAAGCAGGAUCCGAAGCAGGAUCCAGGCUCUGAGCUGUCAGCACAGAACCCAAUGCAGGGCUCAAACUCACAAAUGGUGAGAUCACGACCUGAGCUGAAGCUGGAUGCUUAACCGACUGAGCCACCCAGGCGCCUCCAUAGUCAUGAUAAAUAUUGACAGUAGUAUUCUUUGUUUGGUGUCUUUAUCCAGUUUUGGUACCAGGGUGAUACUGGUCUCAUAGAAUGAAUUCAGAGAUUUUCCUUCCUCUUCUCUCCUCCCCCUUCUUUUUUUUUAAGUUUACUUAUAUAUUUUGGGAGAGAGAGAGAAUGAGCUGGGGAGGGACAGAGAGAGAGGGAGACAGAGUAUCCGAAGCGGGCUCUGUGCUGACAGCAGAGAGCCUGUUGUGGGGUUCAAACUCAUGAGCCGUGAGAUCAUGAUGGACGCUCAACUGACUGAGCCACCCAGGUGCCCCUUUUUCCUCUUCUAUUUUUUGGAUUAGUUUGAGAAGAAUCAGCAUUAACUCCUUGAAAUAUUUGGUAGAAUUUUCCUGUGAAGCAGUCUGGUCCUGGACUUUUGUUUUUUGGGAGUUUUUCUGGUUGCUGAUUCAAUUUCUUUGCUGGUAAUUGGUCUGCUCACAUUUUCUAUUUCUUCUUUAGUUUUGUUAGGUUGUAUGUUUCUAGGAAUAUCCAUUUCUUCUAAGUUGUCCAAUUUGUUACCAUAUAGAUUUUCAUAAUAUUCUCUUUCAAUUGUAUUUCUGUGGUGUUGGUUGUUAUUUCUUUUCUUUCAUUGGUGAUUUUAUUUAUUUAGGUUUUCUCUCUCUCUUUUUCAUGUGUGGCUAGAGGUUUAUCAAUUUUAUUGGCCUUUUCAAGAACUAGCUCUUGAUUUCAUCAAUCUGUUCUAUUGUGUUUUUUUUGUUGUUGUUGUUUGUUGUUGUUUCUAUAUCAUUUAUUUCUACUCUAAUCUUUAUUAUUUCCUUCCUUUUGCUGGGUUUGAGUUUUUUUUUUUUUUCUGCUCCUUUAGGUGUAAGGUUAUGUUGUUCAUUUGUGAUUUUUCUUGCUUUUUGAGUUAAGCCUCUUUUGCUAUAAACUUCCAUUAGAAACACUUUUACUACAUCCCAAAGAUUUCGGAUUGUUGUGUUUUCAUUUUUAUUUGUUUCCUUGUAAUUUUGAUUUCUUCUUUGAUUUCUUGGUUGACCCAUUCACUCAUUGUUUAGUAGCAUGUUAUUUAACCUCCAUGUAUUUGUGCUCUUUCCAGAUUUUUUUCUUGUGAUUGAUUUCUUGAUUCAUAGCAUUGUUGUCAGAUAAGAUUCAUGGUAUGACUUUGAUUUUUUUUUGAGUUUGUUGAGACUACCAUUUAUUUUUAAAAGAUCUGUGAUCUGUAAGGUACUUUUAGAUUUGGAUUGGAAAAUAGCCUCUAAACAGCAUUUAAAAUAUAAUAUUUUUCUGUGACUGUUUUUUUACAUAUCCCUAAAAUGCCUGAAAAAUAUAUAGGUUAAGCAUUUUGAACAUUAUUAGAUAUCCUAAACUUCUGAUAAAAAGUUCAAAGGACAGGUAGUUCAAAGAUAGAGGAGUCCAACCAGAAUAACUGGAUUUUUAAAAUAGGCUAAUGUGAUAUAGGGCAACUACUUAGUUAUUUAGAUUGGAUGGACAGACAUGACAUAAGGAGGUAACAUGAAGCCUUUAACAUAGGUACACAAGUAUAUUUCAUGUAUCUGUACACUUUAAAAAAAUAAUAAAAUGAACAUCUGUGCUCCUGCCACCAAGCUCAGGGGAUAAAAUAUUUAUAGUAACCUAGAAGCUCAUUACAUGUUCUUUCAUGGUACCAUUUUCCCUAGAACACCCUCCCUGAUCUCCCUGAAGUAACUAUGAUCUUGAAUUUUGUGUUAAUCAUUACACUGAUUUUCUUUAAAGUUUACGUUUGUAAAUAAGACUAUACAAUGUAUUGUUUUGGUUGGUCUAUUUUAGAAAUUUCUUUAAAUGGAAUCAGAUUAUUUUUAUUAUUUUGUUACAUAACUCUUAGAUUUAACUUUAGGCUUUUGAAAAUCACCCAUGUUAAUAUAGUUGUAGUAAUUUAUUUCUCCUGUAUACUAUUCUAUACCUUAAUUUAUUUGUCCAUUUGACUAUAUGGGCAAAGCUGUUUGACUCUGUGGAUGUCUCCUGGUUCCAAUGAAAGUAUUUCUUCAAGGCAGACAUUCUAAGCCUUUUUUGUGUUUUAAAACCCUUUGGAAAUCUUGUGAGUCUAUGGUCUCCAGGUGUUUUUAAAGGUAUAACAAAUGAAUAGGGUUACAAAGAAAUUGCAAAGAAGCGUGCAAAGAAAACAAAUUGAACUAGAGUCAUUAAGAUACACUUGAAAAUUGUUGAGAGAGUAGAUUUGAAAAGUUCUCAGGGCACCUGGGUGAUUCAGUCAGUUGAGCAUCUGACUCGUGAUUUUGGCUCAGGUCAUGAUUUCAUGGUUCUUGAGUUUGACUCCUGCAUUGGGCUCCACACUGACAAUGCAGCCUGCUUGGGAUUCUGUCUCCCUCUUGUUCUGCCCUUUCCCUGAUGACAAUGUGUCUCUCUCCCAAAAUAAAUAAACUUUAAAAAAAAGUUCUCAACACACACAUACCUACAAAGGUAAUCAUGUGAGGUGAUGAAUAUGUUAACCUUACUGUGGUAAUCAUUUUGCAGUAUAUAUGUAUAUUAAACCAUCUCAUUGUAACCUUAAACUUAUACAAUAUUAUAUGUCAUUAUAUGUCAAAAAUCUGGAAAACAUAAAAGCAAAUCUUCAAAAAGAAAUAGACAUACUUGUUUAUUAGGAUACUAAAUUGCAAGGUCUUUCAGUAUAUAUGAGAUAUAACUUUGAAUUAAUGAUAAGCAUAUAAGAAAUUUUGAUCUGUUAAUGUAAUUGGUAAUAUCUAUGAUUUUUAUUGGUUACAAAGUCUCCAGUCUUGCUAAUAAUAUUGUGAUUUGUUGCCUGCAUUUCAUAUUCAAAGGAAAUGCUUAUUUUCAGUUAGAAGUAGGUGGUAUUAAAUGUGUAAUUUUUUUUCAUUCAAGUUACCAUACUCUGUGAAUUCUAUACCUAGAACCCUUGGGGAUCUGUGUACUGGAAAUUAUGAACCACUGUUCUAGUUUAUAUACCUAGGAGUGGAAUUGUCAUAAGAUAUGAACAUGUUUAUUUUUACUAAACAGUACAAGACAAACUCUUUUACAAGUUUAUACCAUAAUCGCAGCAUAUGAGUUUUUUCUGACCAAUUUUUAAAUUAUUGCCCAUUUGUUUUAAUGAAUGUAACCAAUAGGAAUCAGUUAAAGGGUGGAGGAAAUUAUAUGAGGUGGGCAAAGGCAACAAUCCACAUGAUGGUGUUCCUGCGUGAUUUUGUCCAAAGGUCAGGUUCGUGCAGAUCUGCAGUAGGAAGCAGAAAUGGAUCCAGUGCUGUCUCAACUGAGUAGGAGGGCAGUAGCUCUGCAUGUAGACUCCAUGCUUUUAUUGUGGGGACGUUCCUGGAGACGUGUUGAGUAAGAAGUUGCUGUGGGAAAGAUCCAAGAGGUUUUUGCCUCCUGUCUCCUUGAGGAUUUUGAUGGCUUCCUGUCUUACAUUGAGACCACAAGGCCUGUGACAUUAUGGUUCCUCAGUGGUGAUACCUUCAGAUAUUCAUCAACCUCAUGGAAAAUUUUGUACAAUUGGCUGCAAAUAGAAGAUCAAGCAAAACAAUCUGCUGUGCAUUGCAACCUAGGGGGUGAAUCAAUCUUCCAUUUAGAGACAGAGACAGAGCACGAGCAGGGCAGAGGCAGAGAGAGAGACACACACACAGAAUCCAAAGCAGGCUCCAGGCUCUAAGCUGUCAGCACUGAGCCCGAUGUGGGGCUCGAACUCAAGAACCGUGAGCUCUGACCUGAGCCAAAGUUGGACGCCUAACCAACUGAGCAACCCAGGCGCCCCAGACUUUUUAUCUUUAAAGAAGACCUACCAAUUUAAAAAAUGUGUGGAUGGGCAUUCAGGAUUUGGAAAGAAAACUAAAGUGGAUGUGACUGAUCUUGGAAUCCAGAAAUACUCCUCUGUCCUCUGAGGCACAAGAGUGGCAAGAACUAUGGAGAAGGAGUCCUUGGAAUUUGGACAUGCAGCUCAGCAGGCCCAGAAGCCUUCUUCUGCACCAGCACAACUCCUUCUUCUGGACUCAGUGUCUAACACCAGGAUACCCCAGAUGAGGAGAUUCCAGCUGAGGGAAGUCUAAGCAUCACCCUAGAGAGACCAGGAGCAGACUUCUGAGGACCGCCUGUUCUCCGAGGGGAGUUGCUCACAGGAAGGGCUAUUUUCCCCUGAUGAACCAAUUGUGAAUUAAAUAUCCAGUAGCUCAAGAAGAUUUGAAACUAACUCCCACAGAGUACAAACUACCAAAUAGCAAUUCACAGGUAUAUCUAGGUCUUCAGGGGAUGCCCAACCAUACUUAGGACUGACCUGAGUGCAGCUACUUCCCCAGAGAAAAAAGCUUCUACUUUGGAACCGCCACCAACAAUCAGGCCCCGGAAUUCCUUGUCCUGCAGGACUGAGGAUGGAGUAUCAAAACCCAAAAAGGUUCAAAGUCCCCCCCAAGAGUCUCUGAAGUGAUGUGCAGGAAGAAAAUGUUACAACAUCUGUUUACAUCCAUUCGUAUUCAAUAGACUAAAAAGCAAUACAGUUUAAUAAUACAUGAUAUGUGAUUGGCAGUGGUAUCCCCACUUGGUCCAUGUGUAACUUAAGGUAAAAGUGUGCCCUGAUGGGAGAAGAUACAUUCCACAACUUAAAGGGGUCAACAGCUGCACCCCUACACACCUCUUUAAGCUCAUAGUGUGGUUCAUAUGCUUGGUUAUGUUUGUUUAUGAAUUUGGUAUCAUAACAAGUAGACUCUAAUGCUUAAAUUUGUAAUGACAUAGGUGUGACCAUAGAAACCCAUUUUAUGUAUUUUGUUUUGUUUUGUUUUGUUUUGUGCAACAUAGUUGUCUUAUUAUCUUUUGGCAAAGAAGCUAAAAGAGUAACAGUGUUCUUUCACUAAAUGACAAGUACUCCAAAUUUGGUGACCUUUUCUGUCAUGACAAGUAACUGUCGAUAGAUGCCACCUAACAGAGAUCCUCAAAAAAGAUAAAGACACUUAUUGUCUCCUUUCAAGGUAAAGGUGACAUUCUAACAAUGAGUGAAAAAGUAACUGGUUUUUGUUUUGUUUUCUUUUAUUUUUAAUCCUGUAUGGGAAAAGAAUGUUGAAAAAUGGAUGUUUGUAGGUGUUUAUAUCAUUGUCAAAAAUGAUGUCUCAGACAUAAAUUUCUAUCUUACACUGAAACAGAAUUCUCUAACCUAUUUUGAGAUCUUCCAAAUGAAGCGUUUCAGUGGUUUUUGAAACCAUUUGAUAAAAAAUUUUAAGAAAGAAAAUCCCUUCUGACUACAUUACAAAAAAAUCGAUUUUGACAUCAGGGAAAGGGAGAAUUGAUUAAUUUUAACAAUAAAAUUGAAUGAGAAAUGUUGUGAAUGGGAUUAAGAAAUUAAUAUGAUUUAGAAAGUGUGCUCAAUGUUGCACUUCCUCUGUUGGAUCACAGAUCUUCUGAGAAAUAUCUUCCAUACGUGAUAGUCAUAAAAACCAAGUAUCACAAUAAAAUGAACACACUAGACCUUUAAUUUCUGCCACAUAAAGCAGGAAGCCAAAAAUGUAUUCAAAUGAUGAAGAAUUUUAUCACCUCACAAUGAUAAACUGUUACUAAUAAUAAUUUAUUGAGCCCUUUAAUACAUAUUUUUCUUUGAUUAAUAUAGUUUAAUUAUUUAAAUAUUACUAAUUAAUUGUUAUUAUAUAUUUUAUACAGUGUCUAGUUUGGUAAAUAGUUUUUAGUGUACCUAAUACCUAGUUCCAUAUUACAUAUGUGUGUAUGUUGUUUGUGUGUACAUCUGUGUAUGUAAAGAGAGGGAGAUAACUAAAAAAUUAUGCAGGAAUGCCCCUGGGUCACAUCCAUGAGAUCCAGAAUAACUGGACAUAGCUUUUGAACCACAACUUGAAACAGGGGCCCUGAGGCUGGCUCAUGUCUAUAUCCAUAGUGUUAAGCACAAAGCCUGGCUAUAUUGAAUAAAUGAUAAAGGAAUGAACAUUUCAUGGUGGCCAGAGGUUUGAAUUGUUCUCAUAUGAAAAUAAUAAUUCAUGAGUUCUUUCAAAAAAUGUUUUAAUCCAAGCAUAUCUACACAGAGCAGUGAAAUAAAAUUGCAAAAUAUUUAUGCAUUAAAAAAAAAACAAAACUGUUAGACCUGAAAAACAGAGCCUGAUGUUUCUAUUACUAACCACUAGGUGGCAAUAGCUCUACAUUACUCUUCAUCUCACUUCUAGCAAUCUUUCCCUAGUGGUCUUGGAGUUAGCACAGAAUGUUAUCUCCUCAGAUAUUUGCCAAGAAAAGGCAUAUCUGUUUUAGGAACUCUGAUACUGGUAUUAUUGAUGCAAAUGUAUUUCUGUGCUUGUUUCCUGUUGCAUACAUCUAGGACUAUUACAACAGUUAUCCACUAAUUUGAUGAUCUUAGAGUUAUAAAUUAUUAUAGCAAAAUCAAUAAAGAAUUUAUUUUUAAGCCAUAGGAGUCCAUAAAGGUCUACAUAUGGAAAAUUUAAGAUAAUUGCUGUGCUUUUAUAUAUCAUUUUCUCUCUCCUUCUCCCUAUCCUCAUGGCCUUGGAAUUACAGAAUGAAGACAUGAACAUAGCUAUAAAUACAGAUAAAGAUGGCAGAAGUGAGAGGUCUACUCUUGCUUCUUUUCCUAGCUAUUUCUCUGUAUUCACAAAUAAGCCACCUAACUGUGACUGAGACCUGUCCAGUUUCUCUUUCACGGAACAUAUAUACAAAGAGCAUCUGCAAAAUGCAUGGAGAUUUUGGACAGAAAAUGACAGAAUUGGAGACAGGAUAACGUCCAGGCAGUAUGAAAUGCUUUUCAGCUCCAAUUCCUUGGGAGAAUGAUGCAGUGAAAUUUUCUUUGAAAUAGGAACAAAAUUUAAAUCAGAGCUUUCAUAGAGCUGUUUUGUUUUAAUUUAUUCAUGUAGCCACAACAGGAUAGUAGCAAGAAACUAUACCCAAAGUUCAGGAAUUGAACUAACUAGUAUUGUCUAAAGCCUUUAUAGAUGAUACCUAGAUCUUUUAAGAUGUCUCUUUCUAUGACUUCAUCAACUAUUAGCUCCAAAUGGCUCAGAAGUUAGAAAAUUAAACAAGAUAAAUUUUUUUAUUUUUAUUUAUUUAUUUAUUUAUUGAAAUUUAUUGUCAAAUUGGUUUCCAUUCAACACCCAGUGCUCAUCCCAAAAGGUGCCCUCCUCAAUACCCAUCACCCACCCUCCCCUCCCUCCCACCCCCCAUCAACCCUCAGUUUGUUCUCAGUUUUUAAGAGUCUCUUAUGCUUUGGAUCUCUCCCACUCUAACCUCUUUCUUUUUUUUUUUUUCCUUCCCCUCCCCCAUGGGUUUCUGUUAAGUUUCUCAAGAUCCACAUAAGAGUGAAAACAUAUGGUAUCUGUCUUUCUCUGUAUGGCUUAUUUCACUUAGCAUAACACUCUCCAGUUCCAUCCACGUUGCUACAAAGGGCUAUAUUUCAUUCUUUCUCAUUGCUGCGUACUACUCCAUCGUGUAUAUAAACCACAAUUUAUCCAUUCAUCAGUUGAUGGACAUUUAGGCUCUUUCCAUAAUUUGGAUAUUUUUGAGAGUGCUGCUAUAAACAUUGGGGAACAAGUGCCCCUAUGCAUCAGUACUCCUGUAUCCCUGAAAAUUAUUUUUAAAAACUGACCAAAUCAAUUAGAAUCAAUUUGGUAUCUCCAAAAGAUCAUUCAUUCAUUCAUUCAUUCAACAAGCUCACAUAGUGUCCAGCACUGUGUUCUCACAUAAUGGUGUCCAGAGCUGGAAGGAAGAAAAAGGCAAAGGGGUCUUCAUAUGCACCUGUUUUUUAUUUUUUCAGAUGUUAAUAACUUUUCUGAGUAUCUCCUGGCUCACUUUUCUCACAUCUCUUUGUCCAGAACUAAGUUUCAUCCCUCUUCUAGGCCAGCCCCUGGGAGGUAUAUGGGGUUCUAUGACUCAAUUAGGACAAUCAUGAGCCAUCCUUAGACAAGUCUGGGUAUAGUAUCACCUGAAAUGGAUUGCUGAUAAAUUUUAGAGGUAGGAUACAGUACAUAGGCAGCACAGGAUAUGACUUUUUAAAGAGAGAGGCUGGUGAGUUUGAAGAACUAGCAGGUCAAGGACCAAUGUUUCUGCAGCCCUGAAUGACAUAGUAUUGGAAUGAAUGAGAAGGUUCAAAUAUAUGAGAAAUGGGCUAAGGCAGAGUGCAUCUCAAGAAUGAGACUGUGGAGAGACUGGAAGUCUGCAGCAUGGGAUGACCCACCAAGACCACAGUGUGUCCAGAAUCAUGAAAGGGGAUCUAUCUCCCUGUGCCUUUGUUAGGGAUGAGAUUGGUAUUUUGUCAGCAGUGAUUAGAAGAGAAAUUCUUCUCUGAUUCAUAGGGCAUUUAGUCUCAAGCACUGGAUGGGGAGUUUGUAUUUGAAACCUUCUUCUGAGAUGAUUCAGGCUAUCCUUGAGCAGUGUUGAGCUUGUAUGCACCACUGUGAGAGGGUGUGCCAGUGUCCAGUGUGCUUGCAGAAUUUAUCCAGGGAGUGUCAUUUGUGGCUCCAUCACUAGGUGAAGAUCAGUGUAUCCGCUACAGUGGACCAAGAAGGGCCAGAAUGCCUGGAGUACUUACUGUUGACAGGGAGGUUCCAGUAUGUCUGGUUCACUUAGAGCAUUGGGAGACUCCUGGACAUGUUCCACUGACUGGAGGGGUAGUCAGAAGCCUAGGUCUUGAAAGAUUCUUGGUAUUUUCCAAUACUGGAGACAAGAGUGGGAAAUUUGAAGAACUGUUGGGCCAUAAAUUCUAUGUGGCUGCACCAAUGACUAUGCAAACAGCUGAUAUACAUCAGAAGCCCUGGAUGAUAAGUUACCUGUAUGUUUACAACAAAACACACACACAAAAAAAAAACAAAACCCAAAAAAGCAAUACACAAAAACUAUGGGUUUAAUAUGGUUGUGUAAGGGACAGAUGUUAUAAAGUGAAGGAUAAAUUAUAUUCUAUUUAUUGUGUUUGGUCUGUAUGACUGAAUGAAUUAUCCUUUAUCAAGUGUGCAUCACCAGUACCCCCUUUAAAUUUGUCCUCUUCAUUUUU